RNAcentral lists this ribosomal RNA (627 nucleotides) under Orbilia sarraziniana. RNAcentral's name for it is "eukaryotic LSU rRNA". It matches the Rfam family "Eukaryotic large subunit ribosomal RNA", at positions 23 to 664 of the family's 3401-position model. Lineage: Eukaryota; Fungi; Ascomycota; Orbiliomycetes; Orbiliales; Orbiliaceae. The record is from RNAcentral.
ACCCGCUGAACUUAAGCAUAUCAAUAAGCGGAGGAAAAGAAACCAACAGGGAUUGCCUCAGUAACGGCGAGUGAAGCGGCAACAGCUCAAAUUUGAAAUCUGGAGUCUUCGACUUCCGAGUUGUAAUUUGAAGAGGAUGUUUCGGUUGUGGCCAUGGCCUAAGUUCCUUGGAACAGGACGUCGUAAAGGGUGAGAAUCCCGUACACGGCUGGUGGCUUACUUCCAUGUGAAACUCCUUCGAAGAGUCGAGUUGUUUGGGAAUGCAGCUCAAAAUGGGUGGUAAAUUUCAUCUAAAGCUAAAUAUUGGCGAGAGACCGAUAGCGCACAAGUAGAGUGAUCGAAAGAUGAAAAGCACUUUGAAAAGAGAGUUAAACAGUACGUGAAAUUGUUGAAAGGGAAGCGCUUGCAAUCAGACUCGCUUUCGGUUGAUCAAGGUUCCUUUUGGUUCCUGCACUCUGCCGUUUGCGGGCCAGCAUCAGUUGGAGCGGUGGGAUAAAGGCUUCGGGAAUGUGGCACCCUUCGGGGUGUGUUAUAGCCCGUCGCGUAAUACCGCCUGUUCCGAUUGAGGUCCGCGCUUUUGCUAAGAUGCUGGCUUAAUGGUUGUAAGCGACCCGUCUUGAAACACGG